This 708-nucleotide ribosomal RNA is filed under the name Triticum aestivum (bread wheat). Its description in RNAcentral is "partial small subunit ribosomal RNA". Lineage: Eukaryota; Viridiplantae; Streptophyta; Magnoliopsida; Poales; Poaceae. The record is from RNAcentral.
AUGGCAUCCCUAGCAGCCGCUUCCCGUGUCGUGCUGCACAUCCUCCCUCUUUUUCUCCUCGCUGCCGGCACCCACGCCGCCACGUUCACCAUCACCAACAAGUGCCAGUUCACCGUGUGGGCGGCGGCCGUGCCGUCCGGCGGUGGCAAGCAGCUGGACCCGGGGGCGCAGCCAUGGAGCAUCGAGGUGCCGGCGGGCACGACGGGCGGGCGCGUGUGGGCGCGCACGGGGUGCAACUUCGACGGGAGCGGCAACGGGCAGUGCCAGACGGGGGACUGCGGCGGCGUGCUGCAGUGCACGGGGUACGGGCAGGCGCCCAACACGCUGGCCGAGUUCGGGCUGAAUAAGUACAUGGGCCAAGACUUCAUCGACAUCUCUGUCAUCGACGGCUUUAACGUGCCCAUGGACUUUCUGCCGGCCGACGGCACAGCCGGGUGCGCCAAGGGCGGGCCGCGGUGCGACGCGGACAUCACGUCACAGUGCCCGUCCGAGCUCCGGGCACCCGGCGGGUGCAACAACGCGUGCACGGUGUUCAAGAAGGACGAGUACUGCUGCACCGGCACGGCGGCGGACAACUGCGGGCCGACCGACUACUCGAGGUUCUUCAAGGGCCAGUGCCCGGACGCCUACAGCUACCCCAAGGAUGAUGCCACCAGCAUCUUCACUUGCCCCGGCGGCACCAACUACCAGGUCGUCUUCUGCCCAUGA